GACGAACGCUGGCGGCGUGCCUAAUACAUGCAAGUCGAGCGAUGCAGCUGGGUGCUUGCACCAAUUUGAAGAGCAGCGAACGGGUGAGUCACGCGUGGGGAAUCUGCCUUUGAGCGGGGGACAACUUCUGGAUACGAAUGCUAAUACCGCAUAACAACUUUAUACAUAAGUUUUAAGUUUGAAAGAUGCAAUUGCAUCACACAAAGAUGAUCCCGCGUUGUAUUAGCUAGUUGGUGAGGUAAAGGCUCACCACGGCGAGGAUACAUAGCCGGCCUGAGAGGGUGAGCGGCCACAUUGGGACGGGGACACGGCCCAACAGCCUACGGGAGGCAGCAGGAGCGAAUCUUCAGCGAAGGAAGAAAGGCUGACCGAUGAACGCUGCGUGAGUGAAGAAGGUUGUCGUAUCGUGAGACUCUGUUAGUAGAGAAGAACGUUAGUGAGUGUGGAAAGCUCAUCAAGUGACGGUAACUACCCAGAAAGGGACGGCUAACUACGUG
RNAcentral lists this ribosomal RNA (497 nucleotides) under uncultured bacterium. RNAcentral describes it as "partial 16S ribosomal RNA". It matches the Rfam family "Bacterial small subunit ribosomal RNA", at positions 28 to 507 of the family's 1533-position model. The record is from RNAcentral.